This is a non-coding RNA of Bemisia tabaci, 449 nucleotides long. The record is from RefSeq and is a predicted model, not a curated record. NCBI's taxonomy places the organism in Eukaryota, Metazoa, Arthropoda, Insecta, Hemiptera, Aleyrodidae.
GUAUUCAUCCUAUAAAAUUUUAGUAUGAUUCAUUUCCUGGUGAAUCUGUACAUGUUUUCAAAUUAUUAAUAUCCAUCCUAUAAAAUUUUAGUAUGAUUCAUUUCCUGGUGAAUCUGUACAUGUUUUCAAAUUAUUAGUAUCCAUCCUAUAAAAUUUUAAUAUGAUUCAUUUCCUGGUGAAUCUGUACAUGUUUUCAAAUUAUUAGUAUCCAUCCUAACAACCUUUUGAAGGCCAAUUUUUUAGUGCGCAGCGCGGUUUCAGUGAUGGUGUCGUGUUGCGAGUGCUUUCAGCUUGGCGUCGGGCAAUUGGAUAACUCUCAUCUGCUCGCCUGGUGAAGGCCCACUACCUCCUUCAUACUUGCUCUCCUGGCGGAGACCUAGCACCUUUUUCGAAAUCGGAGCGAGGAGAGUUCGGGGUCGACGAUCGGGCGGUGGCUCCGCGACCUCCGC